Long non-coding RNA from Lepisosteus oculatus (spotted gar), 1676 nucleotides. RefSeq lists it as uncharacterized. The record is from RefSeq and is a predicted model, not a curated record. NCBI's taxonomy places the organism in Eukaryota, Metazoa, Chordata, Actinopteri, Semionotiformes, Lepisosteidae.
CACUGACCUGACAUGUUCCCGUUUCACCUUAGAGCACAUCAGUUGGAGUAAAGCUGAAGAUCCCUUCUCCGGUGGCAGGGAACUAGGAGACAGAUGGUGGGAUGUCUCAGGCAGAGGAUUCCCAGGACUAACUAAAGAGGAACUGCAGUCCCAAUUUCUCAAACUGAAAAGAUCGAUGUUUUGGAAGCACUACAGAGAAGAGCAACCUGAUUCAUUUCAGGACUUAAAGGAAUGACAGGUUGAAAGAACGGAACCUGUUCAGUCUUCAAGAGAGAAGACUACAAGGGGACUGGAUACAAGUAUUCAAAGUCCUCAAAAGCAUUGACGAAGUUAAGGCAGCUGACAUCUUCAGAAUGAACACUGAAACACAAGUGGAAUCCAUGGGCCAGCAUAUUUAAAAAGAGAAUAGAAGACACUUCUUGGUGGUACUCAAAGCGUUGUGGAGGAAGGAACACGUACUCACCAAUGUUGCUGAGGCUGAUAUCCUGGCUUCUGAUCUGGAUCUUCUGGAUCUGAUGGCCUGAUCAGAUCCUUGGAUCAAUCAGCUACUCAGCUCAGCUACUAACUGCCAAAUGGGCUAAAUGGCUCUCAUUUCCUCUCAUUUGUAACUUUUCUCAUGCUAAAGAUCACCCCACUAAUCUGACAUGAAAUUGUCAUAUUUAUCUUAUUUCCAGACACAGAUGUGUACUUUCUAGGCCUUCAUAUAAAAAGCUUCUUAAAGUAACUAUUUCUUACCAUUUUCUAAGCAAAUGCUUCAGUUCAGAAUCUCAUAAGUGGCAGGUAUAUUAAAGUAAAAAAUGGUAUAGAAAAAUGAAUUCAGAACUCUUCCUGUCCUUAAUGAAGAAAUUUUAUUUUAUGCCAAUUAUGGAAAAUACAAGACAUGUACUAGUGACAACAAGAACACGAUUUUGUCUUAAGAGUUCAUACAUUUUCAUUCGCAUUUUUCGAAUACAUUCUGCAUCUAUGCGUUUUCAAAAAAAUGCAUGUACAUAUGAUAGGUUAUGUUUUAUUUUACUUGUUGAAGCACAAUAGUAAGUAUGUGUCAUGACUGGUAACUGUAGACAGCUACAGCUUCGUCUAGUGCUUUGUUGAGUUGUUCUCUUUGUGUACAGUAGUCACAGGGGAGCUGAACUGCAAAUUGUACCAAUUAAGAGUGCAGCUGUGUUAAUGUGUGAGAAGGACAAUAGAGCAAGAGCUCAUCUGUCAACAGACAAGACGGAGGGAAUCCCUGAUACACAAAGACAAAGACGAUAAAGAAAGUCUAAGCACAAGUACAAACUAAACCCCUCCAUGCAAUCGUCACACCAUCAUAAUGACACAGUUCCAGGAGAAGGAGGAUAAGGAGGAUGGCCCACAGAUGAACGUGUCUGCCCGGAGAAUUAACUGCAAUCAGUGCUUAACAUCCAAUUAAUUUAAUUCCUGUGUGUAAGUAACGAAUCAGGAGCUGAAUGUGGGGAGAUAAAAUCUUCAAUCCCUGAUUAGCAAGACAAGGUGGAUGAACUGAGAACAGUAUCUGGCUGGAUUUACCAGAUGCAGACAAGAGGAAGGUUAUAUAGCGAAGAUUAGAGACUGUUUUAUUUAGGCUGUACUGUCACACAGAUGCACAUUAGUGGGAUACGUCUCUUUGACUUCUCAAGAAAUGUAUGCUUAACUGAGCACAUGUUAUCUGAAUUAAA